GACGAACGCUGGCGGCGUGCUUAACACAUGCAAGUCGAACGGUAAGGCUCCAGCUUGCUGGGGUACACGAGUGGCGAACGGGUGAGUAACACGUGGGUGACCUGCCCUGCACUUCGGGAUAAGCCUGGGAAACUGGUUCUAAUACCGAAUAGGACCGCACCGUGAGGGUGUGGCGGAAAGUUUUUUCGGUGUGGGAUGGGCGCGCGGCCUAUCAGCUUGUUGGGGGGGUAAUGGCCUACCAAGGCGGGGACGGGUCGCCGGCCUGAGAGGGUGGACGGCCACAUUGGGACUGAGACACGGCCCAGACUCCUACGGGAGGCAGCAGUGGGGAAUAUUGCACAAUGGGCGGAAGCCUGAUGCAGCGACGCCGCGUGGGGGAUGACGGCCUUCGGGUUGUAAACUCCUUUCACCAUCGACGAAGGGUUUCUGACGGUAGAUGGAGAAGAAGCACCGGCUAACUACGUGCCAGCAGCCGCAGUAA
RNAcentral lists this ribosomal RNA (481 nucleotides) under uncultured bacterium. Its description in RNAcentral is "partial 16S ribosomal RNA". It matches the Rfam family "Bacterial small subunit ribosomal RNA", at positions 28 to 523 of the family's 1533-position model. The record is from RNAcentral.